RNAcentral lists this ribosomal RNA (303 nucleotides) under uncultured bacterium. RNAcentral's name for it is "partial 16S ribosomal RNA". It matches the Rfam family "Bacterial small subunit ribosomal RNA", at positions 507 to 807 of the family's 1533-position model. The record is from RNAcentral.
AGCAGUCGCCGCGGUAAAACGGAGGGUGCAAGCGUUAUCCGGAUUUAUUGGGUUUAAAGGGUCCGUAGGCGGAUCUGUAAGUCAGUGGUGAAAUCUCACAGCUUAACUGUGAAACUGCCAUUGAUACUGCAGGUCUUGAGUAAAUUUGAAGUGGCUGGAAUAAGUAGUGUAGCGGUGAAAUGCAUAGAUAUUACUUAGAACACCAAUUGCGAAGGCAGGUCACUAAGAUUUAACUGACGCUGAUGGACGAAAGCGUGGGGAGCGAACAGGAUUAGAUACCCGCGUAGUCCCUGUCUCUUAUAC